RNAcentral lists this ribosomal RNA (252 nucleotides) under uncultured bacterium. Its description in RNAcentral is "partial 16S ribosomal RNA". It matches the Rfam family "Bacterial small subunit ribosomal RNA", at positions 524 to 776 of the family's 1533-position model. The record is from RNAcentral.
UACGUAGGGUGCAAGCGUUGACCGGAAUUAUUGGCGUAAAGAGCUCGUAGGCGGUUUGUCGCGUCUGCUGUGAAAACCCGAGGCUCAACCUCGGGCCUGCAGUGGGUACGGGCAGACUAGAGUGCGGUAGGGGAGAUUGGAAUUCCUGGUGUAGCAGUGGAAUGCGCAGAUAUCAGGAGGAACACCAAUGGCGAAGGCAGAUCUCUGGGCCUUACCUGACGCUGAGGAGCGAAAGCGUGGGUAGCGAACAGG